RNAcentral lists this unclassified non-coding RNA (341 nucleotides) under soil metagenome. RNAcentral describes it as "partial contains 5.8S ribosomal RNA, internal transcribed spacer 2, and large subunit ribosomal RNA". The stretch from base 2 to 121 matches the Rfam family "5.8S ribosomal RNA", at positions 35 to 154 of the family's 154-position model. The record is from RNAcentral.
GGAUGAAGAACGCAGCGAAAUGCGAUAAGUAGUGUGAAUUGCAGAAUUCAGUGAAUCAUCGAAUCUUUGAACGCACAUUGCGCCCUUUGGUAUUCCAAAGGGCAUGCCUGUUCGAGCGUCAUUUGUACCCUCAAGCUUUGCUUGGUGUUGGGCGUCUUGUCUCUAGCUUUGCUGGAGACUCGCCUUAAAGUAAUUGGCAGCCGGCCUACUGGUUUCGGAGCGCAGCACAAGUUGCACUCUCUAUCAGCAAAGGUCUAGCAUCCAUUAAGCCUUUUUUUCAACUUUUGACCUCGGAUCAGGUAGGGAUACCCGCUGAACUUAAGCAUAUCAAUAAGCGAGGA